This 29-nucleotide non-coding RNA is filed under the name Rattus norvegicus (Norway rat). The record is from RNAcentral. Lineage: Eukaryota; Metazoa; Chordata; Mammalia; Rodentia; Muridae.
UGCUGCUAGUGUAUGUAUGUGCUUAGGGG